RNAcentral lists this ribosomal RNA (170 nucleotides) under Atergatis granulatus. Its description in RNAcentral is "partial 16S rRNA". Lineage: Eukaryota; Metazoa; Arthropoda; Malacostraca; Decapoda; Xanthidae. The record is from RNAcentral.
GCUUUAUAAAUAAUUUAAAUUUGAUUAGUUUAGUAAUUAAAGAUUAGAUUUAAUUAUUUUAUUUUGUUGGGGUGAUAUGAGUAUAAGUGUUAUUAACUGCUUAAUUAGAAUUCUAUUAUUGGAGAGUUAAUAUAGUGUAUGAUCCUUUUUAAAGAUUAGAAGACUAAGUU